AACGAACGCCGGCGGCAGGCCUAACACAUGCAAGUCGAGCGAGACCUUCGGGUCUAGCGGCGGACGGGUGAGUAACGCGUGGGAAUAUGCCCUUUGGUACGGAAUAGCCUCGGGAAACUGAGAGUAAUACCGUAUGUGCCCUUCGGGGGAUAGAUUUAUCGCCAAAGGAUUAGCCCGCGUUGGAUUAGGUAGUUGGUGGGGUAAUGGCCUACCAAGCCUACGAUCCAUAGCUGGUUUGAGAGGAUGAUCAGCCACACUGGGACUGAGACACGGCCCAGACUCCUACGGGAGGCAGCAGUGGGGAAUCUUAGACAAUGGGGGCAACCCUGAUCUAGCCAUGCCGCGUGAGUGAUGAAGGCCUUAGGGUUGUAAAGCUCUUUCAGCUGGGAAGAUAAUGACGGUACCAGCAGAAGAAGCCCCGGCUAACUCCGUGCCAGCCGCCGCCGUAA
RNAcentral lists this ribosomal RNA (449 nucleotides) under uncultured bacterium. RNAcentral describes it as "partial 16S ribosomal RNA". It matches the Rfam family "Bacterial small subunit ribosomal RNA", at positions 29 to 523 of the family's 1533-position model. The record is from RNAcentral.